ACAUUCAUGCCCCUUGCCAAGACAUGACAGAUGAAAAAAAGAACAGGAAGCAAGAAGAGGGUGACCCCUACAGCCUGUCAAGUGGUAGGUGCCAACUAUAGAUUGUUUUAGACUUUUUCUGUAAGACGUAAUAAAGGGGUAUGUUUGCCAACUAGACUUCUAGGCACAAGAAAUGACAAGUCAGUCAGAAUUGGUUUAAAAAGAACAUACUUCAACUUCAGUUCUAAUGAGGAGAUGCGAUAUAUUUUGUCUACAAUCCGUCACGGCAGUAUACUUUUUCAGUCUUUUGAUGUUGAAUUUGUAAUAACUCCCUCCUUUUAUCU
This 323-nucleotide long non-coding RNA is filed under the name Mytilus galloprovincialis (Mediterranean mussel). The record is from RNAcentral. Lineage: Eukaryota; Metazoa; Mollusca; Bivalvia; Mytilida; Mytilidae.